Molecule: transfer RNA, 67 nt
Filed under: Erronea caurica
Lineage: Eukaryota; Metazoa; Mollusca; Gastropoda; Littorinimorpha; Cypraeidae
Description: tRNA-Thr
Rfam family: tRNA
About the family: Transfer RNA (tRNA) molecules are approximately 80 nucleotides in length.
Source: RNAcentral
GCAAUAAUAGCUUAAAAUAGAGCAUUGGUCUUGUAAGUCAAAGGUGGAUAAAAUCAUCCUUAUUGCU